AAGGCCCAGACAGCCAGGAUGUUGGCUUAGAAGCAGCCAUCAUUUAAAGAAAGCGUAAUAGCUCACUGGUCGAGUCGGCCUGCGCGGAAGAUGUAACGGGGCUAAACCAUGCACCGAAGCUGCGGCAGCGACACUAUGUGUUGUUGGGUAGGGGAGCGUUCUGUAAGCCUGUGAAGGUGUGCUGUGAGGCAUGCUGGAGGUAUCAGAAGUGCGAAUGCUGACAUAAGUAACGAUAAAGCGGGUGAAAAGCCCGCUCGCCGGAAGACCAAGGGUUCCUGUCCAACGUUAAUCGGGGCAGGGUGAGUCGACCCCUAAGGCGAGGCCGAAAGGCGUAGUCGAUGGGAAACAGGUUAAUAUUCCUGUACUUGGUGUUACUGCGAAGGGGGGACGGAGAAGGCUAUGUUGGCCGGGCGACGGUUGUCCCGGUUUAAGCGUGUAGGCUGGUUUUCCAGGCAAAUCCGGAAAAUCAAGGCUGAGGCGUGAUGACGAGGCACUACGGUGCUGAAGCAACAAAUGCCCUGCUUCCAGGAAAAGCCUCUAAGCAUCAGGUAACAUCAAAUCGUACCCCAAACCGACACAGGUGGUCAGGUAGAGAAUACCAAGGCGCUUGAGAGAACUCGGGUGAAGGAACUAGGCAAAAUGGUGCCGUAACUUCGGGAGAAGGCACGCUGAUAUGUAGGUGAAGUCCCUCGCGGAUGGAGCUGAAAUCAGUCGAAGAUACCAGCUGGCUGCAACUGUUUAUUAAAAACACAGCACUGUGCAAACACGAAAGUGGACGUAUACGGUGUGACGCCUGCCCGGUGCCGGAAGGUUAAUUGAUGGGGUUAGCCGCAAGGCGAAGCUCUUGAUCGAAGCCCCGGUAAACGGCGGCCGUAACUAUAACGGUCCUAAGGUAGCGAAAUUCCUUGUCGGGUAAGUUCCGACCUGCACGAAUGGCGUAAUGAUGGCCAGGCUGUCUCCACCCGAGACUCAGUGAAAUUGAACUCGCUGUGAAGAUGCAGUGUACCCGCGGCAAGACGGAAAGACCCCGUGAACCUUUACUAUAGCUUGACACUGAACAUUGAGCCUUGAUGUGUAGGAUAGGUGGGAGGCUUUGAAGUGUGGACGCCAGUCUGCAUGGAGCCGACCUUGAAAUACCACCCUUUAAUGUUUGAUGUUCUAACGUUGACCCGUAAUCCGGGUUGCGGACAGUGUCUGGUGGGUAGUUUGACUGGGGCGGUCUCCUCCUAAAGAGUAACGGAGGAGCACGAAGGUUGGCUAAUCCUGGUCGGACAUCAGGAGGUUAGUGCAAUGGCAUAAGCCAGCUUGACUGCGAGCGUGACGGCGCGAGCAGGUGCGAAAGCAGGUCAUAGUGAUCCGGUGGUUCUGAAUGGAAGGGCCAUCGCUCAACGGAUAAAAGGUACUCCGGGGAUAACAGGCUGAUACCGCCCAAGAGUUCAUAUCGACGGCGGUGUUUGGCACCUCGAUGUCGGCUCAUCACAUCCUGGGGCUGAAGUAGGUCCCAAGGGUAUGGCUGUUCGCCAUUUAAAGUGGUACGCGAGCUGGGUUUAGAACGUCGUGAGACAGUUCGGUCCCUAUCUGCCGUGGGCGCUGGAGAACUGAGGGGGGCUGCUCCUAGUACGAGAGGACCGGAGUGGACGCAUCACUGGUGUUCGGGUUGUCAUGCCAAUGGCACUGCCCGGUAGCUAAAUGCGGAAGAGAUAAGUGCUGAAAGCAUCUAAGCACGAAACUUGCCCCGAGAUGAGUUCUCCCUGACUCCUUGAGAGUCCUGAAGGAACGUUGAAGACGACGACGUUGAUAGGCCGGGUGUGUAAGCGCAGCGAUGCGUUGAGCUAACCGGUACUAAUGAACCGUGAGGCUUAACCUUACAACGCCGAAGCUGUUUUG
RNAcentral lists this ribosomal RNA (1887 nucleotides) under Escherichia coli IS25. RNAcentral describes it as "LSU rRNA". It matches the Rfam family "Bacterial large subunit ribosomal RNA", at positions 1080 to 2925 of the family's 2925-position model. The record is from RNAcentral. Lineage: Bacteria; Pseudomonadati; Pseudomonadota; Gammaproteobacteria; Enterobacterales; Enterobacteriaceae.